AUGUCCUGUGAGCAGCUGCAGGGUUCAAAACCCACUCCUGAGGCCAGGCAGCUUCAUGGGGACCUGGGGCUGGCGGGAGAAGAGCUAAGGCAGCACAGGAUGGGGGUGGGAAGUACAGAGCUGGAAGUUCAGGACCUGUGUAUGGAGGAGGACGAGAGCAAGGAGCUGGAUGAGCUGUGGACCAGCACCUUUGUCUUCAUCACUCUCUUUCUGCUCAGCGUGAGCUACAGUGCCAUGGUCACCCUCUUCAAGCCUGUCUUCUUUGCUCCAGAGCCUGAGACCAGCCCUAGAGUCUUCCCGCUGAGUCUCCAGCGUGCUGCCUCCUGUGAGAAUGUGGUCGUUGCCUGCCUAGUCCAGGGUUUCUUCCCACCGGAGCCCUUGAAGGUGACCUGGAACCACAGCGGAGAGAACGUGACCGUCACGAACUACCCCCCGAUCCAGGACACUGCCGGGGUCCUGUAUACCAUGAGCAGCCAGCUCACCCUACCUGCUGACCAGUGCCCAGACAACAAAUGCCUCACGUGCCAUGUGCAGCAUAACUCAAGCUCACAGGAGGCCAAGGUGCCCUGCAAAGUUCCAGGCUGCCCCUCUGUAUGCCACCCAAGCCUGACACUGCACCGGCCAGCCCUAGAAGACCUGCUCCUGGGCUCGGAAGCCAACCUCACAUGCACACUGAGUGGCCUGAAGGACCCUGAGGGUGCCACCUUCACCUGGCAGACCUCAGGUGGGACAGAUGCCGUACAGAAGGCACCUGAGCGAGACUCCUGUGGCUGCUAUAGCGUGUCCAGCAUCCUUCCUGGCUGCAGGGAGCCCUGGAAGAGUGGGAAGAACUUCUCCUGCACUGCCACCCACCCCGAGGCUGGGACCCAAUCUGCCACCAUUUCCAAAAACUCAGGGAACAGCUUCCCACCCCAGGUCCACCUGCUGCCACCACCGGCGGAGGAGCUGGCGCUGAACGAACUGGUGACACUGACAUGCGUGGUGCGUGGAUUCAGCCCCCAAGACGUGCUGGUGCGCUGGCGGCACGGGGCCCAGCAGCUGCCCCAAAACAACUACCUGACCUGGCCCCCACGGCAGGAGCCAGGCCAGGAAGCUGUCACCUUUGCCGUGACCAGUGUGCUGCGCGUGGAGGCCCAGACCUGGAAGCAGGGUGAUAAUUUCUCCUGCCUGGUGGGCCAUGAGGCCCUGCCCCUGGACUUCACCGAGAAGACCAUCGACCGCUUGGCCGGCCUUCCUGUCUUGCAGAUUGGCAAAAGCCUUGCCCAUGGCUGGUGCUGGACCUGCCACAGGACAGCCUGGAGGAGGAGGCACAAGGGGCUAGCCUGUGGCCAACCACUGUCACUCUGCUCACACUCUUCCUGCUCAGCCUCGUCUACAGCACAGCACUGACAGUGACCAGCAUCUGGGGCCCCCAGGGCAGCAAGGAAGUUCCUCAGUACUGACCAGCUGCAGGCCCAGGUGGAAGCACCAUGGAGCCCUGGAGAAGUCUGCUCUGGAUGCCAAAAAUCAGCCCUGCUCUGAAGUCCCCACUACUCCUGCACAAGCUUGCCCCAUGCAAUAAACAGAUCCAAAAGCCAAACUUUCUCAGAGACC
Molecule: non-coding RNA, 1593 nt
Organism: Trichechus manatus latirostris (Florida manatee)
Lineage: Eukaryota; Metazoa; Chordata; Mammalia; Sirenia; Trichechidae
Source: the annotation of a RefSeq genome assembly